AAAAAAGGUAAGCUACUAAGAGCGAAUGGUGGAUGCCUUGACUGGUAAAGGCGAUGAAGGACGUACUAGACUGCGAUAAGCUACGGGGAGCUGUCAAGAAGCUUUGAUCCGUAGAUUUCCGAAUGGGGCAACCCAAUGUAUAGAGAUAUACAUUACCUAUAUAGGAGCGAACGAGGGGAAUUGAAACAUCUUAGUACCCUCAGGAAAAGAAAUCAAUAGAGAUUGCGUCAGUAGCGGCGAGCGAAAGCGCAAGAGGGCAAACCCAGUGCUUGCACUGGGGGUUGUAGGACUGCAAUGUGCAAGAGGUAAGUUUAGCAGAACAUUCUGGAAAGUAUAACCAUAGAGGGUGAUAGUCCCGUAUGCGAAAAACAAACCUUAGCUAGCAGUAUCCUGAGUAGGGCGGGACACGAGGAAUCCUGUCUGAAUCCGGGUCGACCACGAUCCAACCCUAAAUACUAAUACCAGAUCGAUAGUGCACAAGUACCGUGAGGGAAAGGUGAAAAGAACUGAGGUGAUCAGAGUGAAAUAGAACCUGAAACCAUUUGCUUACAAUCAUUCAGAGCCCUAUGUAGCAAUACAGGGUGAUGGACUGCCUUUUGCAUAAUGAGCCUGCGAGUUGUGGUGUCUGGCAAGGUUAAGCAAACGCGAAGCCGUAGCGAAAGCGAGUCUGAAUAGGGCGCUUAGUCAGAUGCUGCAGACCCGAAACGAAGUGAUCUAUCCAUGAGCAAGUUGAAGCUAGUGUAAGAACUAGUGGAGGACUGAACCCAUAGGCGUUGAAAAGCCCCGGGAUGACUUGUGGAUAGGGGUGAAAGGCCAAUCAAACUUCGUGAUAGCUGGUUCUCUCCGAAAUAUAUUUAGGUAUAGCGUUGUGUCGUAAUAUAAGGGGGUAGAGCACUGAAUGGGCUAGGGCAUACACCAAUGUACCAAACCCUAUCAAACUCCGAAUACCUUAUAUGUAAUCACAGCAGUCAGGCGGCGAGUGAUAAAAUCCGUCGUCAAGAGGGAAACAACCCAGACUACCAGCUAAGGUCCCUAAAUCUUACUUAAGUGGAAAACGAUGUGAAGUUACUUAAACAACCAGGAGGUUGGCUUAGAAGCAGCCAUCCUUUAAAGAAAGCGUAAUAGCUCACUGGUCUAGUGAUUUUGCGCGGAAAAUAUAACGGGGCUAAAGUAAGUACCGAAGCUGUAGACUUGCACACAACUUAGAUUAUUUAAGUUUAGAAUAUGAGAAACUAAGUUAUAUGUUUAGUUAUAUUUUUACUGAUUUUUAUAGAGUAAAGAUAGAAAUAAAACUUAGUAAAAUCAGUAAAAAUAUUCUUAGACUAAAGUUAAGUAGUUUAAGUUGUGUGCAAGUGGUAGGAGAGCGUUCUAUUUGCGUCGAAGGUAUACCGGUAAGGAGUGCUGGAGCGAAUAGAAGUGAGCA
Molecule: ribosomal RNA, 1423 nt
Filed under: Campylobacter jejuni
Lineage: Bacteria; Pseudomonadati; Campylobacterota; Epsilonproteobacteria; Campylobacterales; Campylobacteraceae
Description: partial 23S ribosomal RNA
Rfam family: Bacterial large subunit ribosomal RNA
Source: RNAcentral